RNAcentral lists this non-coding RNA (133 nucleotides) under uncultured Vibrio sp. Its description in RNAcentral is "Moco (molybdenum cofactor) riboswitch". It matches the Rfam family "Molybdenum/Tungsten riboswitch aptamer (Moco RNA motif)", at positions 8 to 125 of the family's 135-position model. Lineage: Bacteria; Pseudomonadati; Pseudomonadota; Gammaproteobacteria; Vibrionales; Vibrionaceae. The record is from RNAcentral.
CCAUAACUCCGAGCUCAUUUAGCUAAGUUCACCACGUCGGUAAGGAUAUGCGGAAUGAGCCAGUGACAAAGUGUCACCAGGGCUGAAUUAGAAAUGAUCCCGCCUCCCGUAUUUGGAAAGGUGUUCCAUGGCG